Pelobates cultripes (western spadefoot toad) is the source of this 213-nucleotide non-coding RNA. Lineage: Eukaryota; Metazoa; Chordata; Amphibia; Anura; Pelobatidae. The record is from the annotation of a GenBank genome assembly.
CUUUAACUGGGCUAAUGCUAAUCUAUUGCUUUCUUUUUCCUGUGCAGUAAAUUUGAUCCAUUUGUACAAUUUUUUGCACAAAAACAUUUAUUAAUGAUAAAAAGCAAAUAAGCCCAAAUAUAGCAAUGAAUAGAGGAUAGCUACAAAUACAUUUAAUACAGAAAAAAAAAAAUCAAAAUAUUAAUUUACAUAUAUAUGUUAAAAACAUAAUAU